Molecule: ribosomal RNA, 425 nt
Filed under: uncultured bacterium
Lineage: Bacteria
Description: bacterial SSU rRNA
Rfam family: Bacterial small subunit ribosomal RNA
Source: RNAcentral
GGGCCCGCACAAGCGGUGGAGCAUGUGGUUUAAUUCGAUGAUACGCGAGGAACCUUACCAGGGCUUAAAUGUAGUAUGACCGGCUUGGAAACAGGCCUUCUCUUCGGAGCAGAUUACAAGGUGCUGCAUGGUUGUCGUCAGCUCGUGCCGUGAGGUGUUAGGUUAAGUCCUGCAACGAGCGCAACCCCUAUUCUUAGUUGCCAGCGGUUCGGCCGGGGACUCUAAGAAGACUGCCAGCGCAAGCUGAGAGGAAGGUGGGGAUGACGUCAAAUCAUCACGGCCCUUACGUCCUGGGCUACACACGUGCUACAAUGGUAGAGACAGAGGGCAGCCACCUGGUGACAGGGAGCGAAUCCUUAAACUCUAUCUCAGUUCGGAUCGCAGUCUGCAACUCGACUGCGUGAAGUCGGAAUCGCUAGUAAUCG